UUUUGAACUGGAAUAAUUAAAAACUGCUACCUGAAAUAAAUGUCAAUGAUCUGUAAAGAAAUGAAGAUGUAAUCUGCUCAUCAACUCAUCUGACACAAGACUUUCCAACUUAGAAUUCUUCCAUUAAGCUAUGUGAGCUUUCUAAAAAAAAUUAUUUUAAAGGUUUGAAGAAAAUUCUCUCUCUGGGGAUUUUUCUAGAGUGGCCAGAGUUGGUGAAUAAGGCAGAGUUUCUUUUACCUUGAGUAAGUCUUUCUGAUUUUUUUUAAGUGUAAAGGACUCCAAAUUAUCCGACUGAAUUCAACCUGGAUGGUAGGCACUGGAAACCAAGCCUAGAAUUUCCUCCUGAACAAUGCUGAGCCCGAAUCACAUUGGGCAGCACAAUUUCAUCACAAAAGCUUGCACAGUGCAAAGUCCUCAAGCCUUUCAUUUGGUCUCUUUGUCAGCUCUUUGCAUUGUUGAUCGAUGGGCCAGAUUGCUGUGGUCAGGAUUUUGCCAAUAGUCCGCUACGAUCUCAUGACUGGCAUUUUGCCUUUUUAAAAAUCAUCCCCUUUGCUCUAGGAAAGACUUUGUACCUUUCCAACCAGCUGGGCUGGCUGUUAGGACUUUGGGGUUCUUUACUUAUUUCUUUCCAGUGGCAGUGGUUAUCAUUUAUGUGCUCAUCGGAGAGAGAUAUUGACUGGUAAUUAAAACUCUGUAAAUGGCUCCUGGUGUCAACUGAUAAAGGCAUCAUUUCCAGGACAAUUCAUAGAAUGGAAGAUUAACUCAGAGAAGAGAUUCUUGUCCUGGUCUCCUCCAGCUGCAUCAUUCAUAGGAAAAAAGAAAAACCCAAGCCAAAAGCAAAACAAAACCCUUUGGGCAAAUAUGAAAAGUCAAGCAAAAUAAAUUCUCACAUUGGUCAUGUUCAAAAAGAAGCCUGAAAUGGUAACGGAUGAUCCAGAGCAGUACUUGUGUACCUUUGUAUCCCAUAUUUUCUCAUCUCUUAAGAAGAGGCUGUCAAGAGAGAAGCAGGUGGCUCAAUGGAGAGAGAGCCAGACCUGGGAACCAGAGAUCCUUGCAACCUAUUCUAAGAUGGAAGACCAGGCUGCCUCUCGAUGCUUCUCUAAAGGGCACCGUUCUUGCCCUUUCCAUUCCUAUAGCCCUUUCCCCAAAGAGGAUCAAAAUUUGGAAGCACACAAAGGCAAAGAGCCCAAGAAUUCCAUCUCAUCCAAUGAGAGAAAGGCAAAUUUCAUUGUCUACGAGACAGGCACGGUGAUAGCAGCCCUGUAA
Molecule: long non-coding RNA, 1266 nt
Filed under: Monodelphis domestica (gray short-tailed opossum)
Lineage: Eukaryota; Metazoa; Chordata; Mammalia; Didelphimorphia; Didelphidae
Description: lncRNA (ENSMODG00000034804.2)
Source: RNAcentral